Molecule: ribosomal RNA, 447 nt
Filed under: uncultured bacterium
Lineage: Bacteria
Description: partial 16S ribosomal RNA
Rfam family: Bacterial small subunit ribosomal RNA
Source: RNAcentral
CGCCCAGACUCCUACGGGAGGCAGCAGUGGGGAAUAUUGCACAAUGGGGGAAACCCUGAUGCAGCGACGCCGCGUGAGCGAUGAAGUAUUUCGGUAUGUAAAGCUCUAUCAGCAGGGAAGAAAAUGACGGUACCUGACUAAGAAGCCCCGGCUAACUACGUGCCAGCAGCCGCGGUAAUACGUAGGGGGCAAGCGUUAUCCGGAUUUACUGGGUGUAAAGGGAGCGUAGACGGCAAUGCAAGCCAGAUGUGAAAGCCCGGGGCUCAACCCCGGGACUGCAUUUGGAACUGUGUAGCUGGAGUGGCGGAGAGGCAGGCGGAAUUCCUAGUGUAGCGGUGAAAUGCAUAGAUAUCACGCAGAACCCCGAUUGCGAAGGCAGCAUACCGGUGCACAACUGACGCUCAGGCACGAAAGCGUGGGUAUCGAACAGGAUUAGAUACCCUUGUA